AAAUUGAAGAGUUUGAUCAUGGCUCAGAUUGAACGCUGGCGGCAGGCCUAACACAUGCAAGUCGAACGGUAACAGGAAGCAGCUUGCUUC
Molecule: ribosomal RNA, 90 nt
Filed under: Escherichia coli
Lineage: Bacteria; Pseudomonadati; Pseudomonadota; Gammaproteobacteria; Enterobacterales; Enterobacteriaceae
Also listed under: 1 other name
Description: partial 16S ribosomal RNA
Rfam family: Bacterial small subunit ribosomal RNA
Source: RNAcentral